GUAAGGAAUAUUGGACAAUGGACGCAAGUCUGAUCCAGCCAUGCCGCGUGAAGGAUUAAGGUCCUCUGGAUUGUAAACUUCUUUUAUAAGGGACGAAAAAAGGCUUUUCUAAGUCGUCUGACGGUACCUUAUGAAUAAGCACCGGCUAACUCCGUGCCAGCAGCCGCGGUAAUACGGAGGGUGCAAGCGUUAUCCGGAUUCACUGGGUUUAAAGGGUGCGUAGGCGGGCAGGUAAGUCAGUGGUGAAAUCCUAGAGCUUAACUCUAGAACUGCCAUUGAUACUAUCUGUCUUGAAUAUUGUGGAGGUAAGCGGAAUAUGUCAUGUAGCGGUGAAAUGCUUAGAUAUGACAUAGAACACCUAUUGCGAAGGCAGCUUACUACGCAUAUAUUGACGCUGAGGCACGAAAGCGUGGGGAUCAAACAGGAUUAGAAACCCGUGUAUCC
This 444-nucleotide ribosomal RNA is filed under the name uncultured bacterium. Its description in RNAcentral is "bacterial SSU rRNA". It matches the Rfam family "Bacterial small subunit ribosomal RNA", at positions 354 to 796 of the family's 1533-position model. The record is from RNAcentral.